AUGUGGAGUAGGUACCAUCACUUUCAGCUUACAGAUGAGGACAUUAACCACAGAGAAAAUUGCACAAUGUGCCCGAAGAGGACGGGACAGCUGCAGAGCUCAGGUCUUCCGGCUGGGAGGCCGGGGCUGUUUCCGGGAGUUGGGGAGGGCCACAGUUGCCAUGCUCAGUGGACACAGCAGGGUGGGAUGGCUGGGUCAUGCCUCAAGGAUGGACUCUGGUCCUGGAGUGAAUCCUGGCUGUUAGUUCAGCUGUUUCAGCUGGUCCUGUCUCCUCUGAUCCUGGAUGCUAAGGGUAAGCAGGGAAGGGUCCAUGGACCCAGUUGGGAGUGUAGGAGGGCUAGGGACAGUGACAGACUGACCAAGGCAAGUGUAGAUGGAUCCAUGUGCAGCAAACCAGGAAAACACCAUGGCUACACAGAAAGGGGCAUUUGCACAUAACACAUACUGUUAGGACCCAUUACCAAGGAACAGAAUUCCAUUCUUAGUUGUACAUUCCUAAAUGCUAGUACAAGAACCUAAUCCAUGAACACUCUCCUAAGGCCACCCUUAAGGAGAUUUCCACCAGAGGUUAAAUGGUCAGAAGCCACAGGGUAGGGACUGCAGCUUCAUGGAAGGAGAAGGUGGGCAACAGCUCACAAGUCCCCUGAGAAUAUUCCAGAAGAGGCUGAGGAAUCACUGACCAGUUCUGCUGCUGAUGGGGUGAGGUUCGGGGUUGGAGCACUUGGUCUUUGAGGACCAUCCUUGUUCUGACCCUGUAUGGUAUGGUAUGUCCCAGGUCCUGUCUGUGCCCUGCCUGCUGUUCAUAAGGCUGCCCCCAUCCCCUCCUGUCAGGAGCAGGAGGGGCCUAGAAAAAGAGAAUUCUGUUGAGUUCCCAGCUGUUCCUUAGGUAAAUGGCAACUUAUUCAAGAUGUACAAUUGUCUGAAUAAAUCGUAGUUAGUUUGUGUGUAUGGUAUUGUUACUGAAACAUCAAGGGUUUGGUCUAGGUCCUGCUGCCUGUGGCACAGAAAGCCAAUGACUGAGCCGACAAGUACUGCCAAGGAAGAAGACUUUAAUUGGGUGCUGAAGCUGAUGAGAUGGGAGCUCAGCCUCAAAUCUGUCUCCCUGACUGACUAAAAUUAGGAAUUUUUUAAUAGCAGGGAAGAAAUGUAACAACAUGUGAGAAAAUAGGAACUAAGGAGUAGCAAGGGAGCAAUCCUGAUGAAUGAGAAGUCUCAUUGUCUGGAUUCCGUGAUCUGGUGAGUUUCAGUCCUUCCAUACUUUUUUUUGAGAGGGCUGAAGGUAGUU
This 1285-nucleotide long non-coding RNA is filed under the name Macaca mulatta (Rhesus monkey). RNAcentral's name for it is "lncRNA (ENSMMUG00000056172.1)". Lineage: Eukaryota; Metazoa; Chordata; Mammalia; Primates; Cercopithecidae. The record is from RNAcentral.